Molecule: ribosomal RNA, 377 nt
Filed under: uncultured bacterium
Lineage: Bacteria
Description: bacterial SSU rRNA
Rfam family: Bacterial small subunit ribosomal RNA
Source: RNAcentral
UAAUACGUAGGGCGCAAGCGUUGUCCGGAAUUAUUGGGCGUAAAGAGCUCGUAGGCGGCUUGUCACGUCGGGUGUGAAAGCCCGGGGCUUAACCCCGGGUCUGCAUUCGAUACGGGCUAGCUAGAGUGUGGUAGGGGAGGUCGGAAUUCCUGGUGUAGCGGUGAAAUGCGCAGAUAUCAGGAGGAACACCGGUGGCGAAGGCGGAUCUCUGGGCCAUUACUGACGCUGAGGAGCGAAAGCGUGGGGAGCGAACAGGAUUAGAUACCCUGGUAGUCCACGCCGUAAACGGUGGGAACUAGGUGUUGGCGACAUUCCACGUCGUCGGUGCCGCAGCUAACGCAUUAAGUUCCCCGCCUGGGGAGUACGGCCGCAAGGCU